CCAUGAAAGCGAAUCUGCCCCAGCACGAUCUCAGCGCCGCACGCAUGGCCUCGGGCAUGACGUCGCGCGCGCGUCGACCGGAAUCCCACAUCCUUGCUGGGUAACCGGAACGCUGUGCCGUUCG
This is a non-coding RNA of Xanthomonas translucens pv. undulosa, 124 nucleotides long. NCBI's taxonomy places the organism in Bacteria, Pseudomonadati, Pseudomonadota, Gammaproteobacteria, Lysobacterales, Lysobacteraceae. The record is from Rfam.